Molecule: transfer RNA, 95 nt
Filed under: Amycolatopsis endophytica
Lineage: Bacteria; Bacillati; Actinomycetota; Actinomycetes; Pseudonocardiales; Pseudonocardiaceae
Description: tRNA-Sec
Rfam family: Selenocysteine transfer RNA
Source: RNAcentral
GGAGGUGUCCGCGCCCUGGUGGACGCCGCGGUCUUCAAAACCGACGAGGCCGGGGAUCCCGGCCUGGCGGGUUCGAUUCCCGUCCACCUCCGCCA